ACUGGGAGCUGCCUGCAGAGAUGGACAAGCAGGCUCUGAAGCAAUUCCCCAGAGCCUCACCAUUCCUGUUUACUGCUGACCCAGCCUAUUAGGAGCAAAUUACUUCCUGUGCUGCCUGUGGAGCGUGGCCUUGAGAGCCAGGGCAGGGAUGGAAACAGGAUAGAGAACAGCAGCCAUCACCUGUCUGGGUUU
Molecule: long non-coding RNA, 192 nt
Filed under: Ictidomys tridecemlineatus (thirteen-lined ground squirrel)
Lineage: Eukaryota; Metazoa; Chordata; Mammalia; Rodentia; Sciuridae
Description: lncRNA (ENSSTOG00000034823.1)
Source: RNAcentral